GUGCUCGCUUCGGCAGCACGUGCACUAAAACUGGAACGAUACAGAGACGAUCAGCACGGCCCCUGCGCAGGGAUGACACGCAAAUCCGUGAAGCGUUCCAUAUUUUU
Chionomys nivalis (European snow vole) is the source of this 107-nucleotide small nuclear RNA. The record is from RefSeq and is a predicted model, not a curated record. Lineage: Eukaryota; Metazoa; Chordata; Mammalia; Rodentia; Cricetidae.